AACGAACGCUGGCGGCAUGCCUAACACAUGCAAGUCGAACGAGACCUUCGGGUCUAGUGGCGCACGGGUGCGUAACGCGUGGGAACCUGCCCUUAGGUUCGGAAUAACUCCCCGAAAGGGGUGCUAAUACCGGAUAAUGUCUUCGGACCAAAGGUUUAUCGCCUUUGGAUGGGCCCGCGUUGGAUUAGCUAGUUGGUAGGGUAAAAGCCUACCAAGGCGACGAUCCAUAGCUGGUCUGAGAGGAUGAUCAGCCACACUGGGACUGAGACACGGCCCAGACUCCUACGGGGGGCAGCAGUGGGGAAUAUUGGACGAUGGGCGAAAGCCUGAUCCAGCAAUGCCGCGUGAGUGAUGAAGGCCGUAGGGUUGUAAAGCUCUUUUACCCGGGAUGAUAAUGACAGUACCGGGAGAAUAAGCUCCGGCUAACUCCG
RNAcentral lists this ribosomal RNA (431 nucleotides) under uncultured bacterium. RNAcentral's name for it is "partial 16S ribosomal RNA". It matches the Rfam family "Bacterial small subunit ribosomal RNA", at positions 29 to 505 of the family's 1533-position model. The record is from RNAcentral.